UACGAAGGGGGCUAGCGUUGCUCGGAAUUACUGGGCGUAAAGCGCACGUAGGCGGUCUUUUAAGUCGGGGGUGAAAUCCUGGAGCUCAACUCCAGAACUGCCUUCGAUACUGGAAGACUUGAGUCCGGGAGAGGUGAGUGGAACUGCGAGUGUAGAGGUGAAAUUCGUAGAUAUUCGCAAGAACACCAGUGGCGAAGGCGGCUCACUGGCCCGGUACUGACGCUGAGGUGCGAAAGCGUGGGGAGCAAACAGA
This 253-nucleotide ribosomal RNA is filed under the name uncultured bacterium. RNAcentral's name for it is "partial 16S ribosomal RNA". It matches the Rfam family "Bacterial small subunit ribosomal RNA", at positions 524 to 776 of the family's 1533-position model. The record is from RNAcentral.